Molecule: ribosomal RNA, 465 nt
Filed under: Vreelandella stevensii
Lineage: Bacteria; Pseudomonadati; Pseudomonadota; Gammaproteobacteria; Oceanospirillales; Halomonadaceae
Description: partial 16S ribosomal RNA
Rfam family: Bacterial small subunit ribosomal RNA
Source: RNAcentral
CCUACGGGCGGCUGCAGUGGGGAAUAUUGGACAAUGGGGGGAACCCUGAUCCAGCCAUGCCGCGUGUGUGAAGAAGGCCCUCGGGUUGUAAAGCACUUUCAGUGAGGAAGAACGCCUGGUGGUUAAUACCCAUCAGGAAAGACAUCACUCACAGAAGAAGCACCGGCUAACUCCGUGCCAGCAGCCGCGGUAAUACGGAGGGUGCGAGCGUUAAUCGGAAUUACUGGGCGUAAAGCGCGCGUAGGUGGCUUGAUAAGCCGGUUGUGAAAGCCCCGGGCUCAACCUGGGAACGGCAUCCGGAACUGUCAAGCUAGAGUGCAGGAGAGGAAGGUAGAAUUCCCGGUGUAGCGGUGAAAUGCGUAGAGAUCGGGAGGAAUACCAGUGGCGAAGGCGGCCUUCUGGACUGACACCGACACUGAGGUGCGAAAGCGUGGGUAGCAAACAGGAUUAGAUACCCGAGUAGUC